Molecule: ribosomal RNA, 352 nt
Filed under: uncultured microorganism
Description: bacterial SSU rRNA
Rfam family: Bacterial small subunit ribosomal RNA
Source: RNAcentral
GUAGUUUGAUCGUGGCUCAGAUUGAACGCUGGCGGCAUGCCUUACACAUGCAAGUCGAACGGCAGCAUGAUCUAGCUUGCUAGAUUGAUGGCGAGUGGCGAACGGGUGAGUAAUACGAUCGGAACGUGCCCUGUAGUGGGGAUAACUAGUCGAAAGAUUAGCUAAUACCGCAUACGACCUGAGGGUGAAAGUGGGGGACCGCAAGGCCUCAUGCUAUAGGAGCGGCCGAUGUCUGAUUAGCUAGUUGGUGGGGUAAAGGCCCACCAAGGCGACGAUCAGUAGCUGGUCUGAGAGGACGAUCAGCCGACACUGGGACUGAGACACGGCCCAGACUCCUACGGGAGGCAGCAGU